Molecule: long non-coding RNA, 338 nt
Organism: Paramisgurnus dabryanus
Lineage: Eukaryota; Metazoa; Chordata; Actinopteri; Cypriniformes; Cobitidae
Source: RefSeq, a predicted model, not a curated record
CCCACGCCCCCUCCCUGCGCGUUUGUUUGUUUGGGUAGCAUAGCAGCCGGCUAGGCUCUCCGGAGCCGCUGAGAAACCUCUCAAAGGUUAGAUAUAACAUCUCCAUUGUGGAUUGUCGACUGCAGAGGACUUGUUUGUGUUGAGAGUGUUUUGGAGAAGUUGAUAAAGAGCAUGAUCGCGGAGCAAAGAUACAAGAUUGGAUAUAAACAAUCCGCGUCGUCGACGAGAGAUGGACCGGACUAUGAGCUCAGCUGCGCUCGCUUGGAUAAAGUCUUCAGCUGACAUCCAGAGGAGGACUGGAAUCUGGAGUGCAUUCAUGAGCGACCACAUUCAAAAUA